UACGGUGAAUACGUUCCCGGACCUUGCACACACCGCCCGUCAAGCCAUGGAAGCCGGUGUACCUAAAGUCGGUAACCGUAAGGAGCCGCCUAGGUAAAACUGGUGACUGGGGCU
RNAcentral lists this ribosomal RNA (114 nucleotides) under uncultured bacterium. RNAcentral describes it as "partial 16S ribosomal RNA". It matches the Rfam family "Bacterial small subunit ribosomal RNA", at positions 1358 to 1482 of the family's 1533-position model. The record is from RNAcentral.